Miniopterus natalensis is the source of this 1030-nucleotide long non-coding RNA. RefSeq lists it as uncharacterized. NCBI's taxonomy places the organism in Eukaryota, Metazoa, Chordata, Mammalia, Chiroptera, Miniopteridae. The record is from RefSeq and is a predicted model, not a curated record.
GCUGAGUCACAUGGGCCGGGCUGGAAUAUUUUUAAAUAGCUCUAAUGACAUCCUUACUGAGUACAGGGACUCUAUAUGCCAAACAAAGGAGACUCUUACAAAUAAUUAUAUAUAUUUUAAUUACCUGUAAAAAUAACUUUUUCUUCCAUUACAUAUAUUUUGAUAGCUUCUUGGAGACAGGAGGGCCCAAGAAACCUGACUUAUGAUUAACUCACCCAUUGGAUCACAUGUCAGUCUUAAUAGAGGUCCAGUAAGCAAAUAGACACCACCCAUUCAUUUCAUGCAAGCCUCUGACGAGCUGCCUGUGGAAACAAAUGUCUCUCCUUGCUCAACUAGCUAGAGUUCAAACUGGUGACUUGGAGGUGAAAGGUUGUGGAUUCUGUUAUCAAUCAUCUAGGCUACCCAUUGCUCCAUCAACAAAGUGCUGCCUCAGACAAGAGAAGGGAGAAUUAUUUUAUUUCACUUAUUGACACAUUGCACAACUCUGUUAGCAAGUAUCAUCUUGUAUACGUUAUGAAAAGCAGCUUAAAAAGCAGCUUUCUUUUAUUUAACAUAUGGAACAUAUGUGAAGGAAAUGUGCAAAACACAAUGUUCUGCAAAUUGCUAUGAAUUGUUGGUGAGAAAAUUCAUUUACGGUUCCUGGAUUUUUCUUCUUGUCUGUAACUGUCAACCAAUGGCAGUGGGAUGGAUUGAGUCGCCCCAUGCAGAUGUCUGUGAACACAGUCUCUGGCCUCUGUCAGAUAACAUUACAGACCUGCCUUUAACACUCAUUGCUCACAUACUUGGGGGAAUAAGUUAUUUUACUUUUCUGCUACACUAUUUUUUUUUUUCUUUGCCAUAAAUACAUAGUAGAGAGUAUAAAAUGAUUGUUGAGAGGUAGCUGACAGAGAAGUCAAGAGCUGCCCAUUGGGAUAUUCAUUACUUCAUGAAGAUAAUUCAUCUAAAUAAUUUAUCAAAACAAUACAAAAAGAUGAAGACAGAAUUUAGUCUCAUGAUUAGUUAACAUUACUCAAUAAAAGUUUGAAAUACA